AUUGAACGCUGGCGGCAUGCCUUACACAUGCAAGUCGAACGGCAUCGCGGGAAAGCUUGCUUUACUGGCGGCGAGUGGCGAACGGGUGAGUAACACAUCGGAACGUACCGGCUAGUGGGGGAUAACCCGUCGAAAGACGGGCUAAUACCGCAUACGCUCUUCGGAGGAAAGCAGGGGACCUUUGGGCCUUGCGCUAGCCGAGCGGCCGCUGUCCGAUUAGCUAGUUGGGGGGGUAAAGGCCUACCAAGGCGACGAUCGGUAGCGGGUCUGAGAGGACGAUCCGCCACACGGGGACUGAGACACGGCCCAGACUCCUACGGGAGGCAGCAGUGGGGAAUCUUGGACAAUGGGGGUAACCCUGAUCCAGCAAUGCCGCGUGGGUGAAGAAGGCCUUCGGGUCGUAAAGCCCUUUCGGCAGGGAAGAAAUCGGCGGGGCGAAUAACCCUGCUGGAUGACGGUACCUGCAGAAGAAGCACCGGCUAACUACGUG
RNAcentral lists this ribosomal RNA (490 nucleotides) under uncultured bacterium. Its description in RNAcentral is "partial 16S ribosomal RNA". It matches the Rfam family "Bacterial small subunit ribosomal RNA", at positions 29 to 507 of the family's 1533-position model. The record is from RNAcentral.